This 914-nucleotide ribosomal RNA is filed under the name Prorocentrum cf. sculptile. RNAcentral describes it as "eukaryotic LSU rRNA". It matches the Rfam family "Eukaryotic large subunit ribosomal RNA", at positions 23 to 920 of the family's 3401-position model. The record is from RNAcentral. Lineage: Eukaryota; Dinophyceae; Prorocentrales; Prorocentraceae.
ACCCGCUGAAUUUAAGCAUAUCAGUAAGCGGAGGAUGAGAAACUAAAAAGGAUUUCCCCAGUAAUGGCGAAUGAACCGGGAUCAGCUCAACCUGGAAAUUGCGGCCCUCGUGGCCUUGAAUUGUAAUCCCGAGAUGCGCUGCCAACAGAGGUGUGGAUGUAAGCCUUUUGGAAGAGAGGAGUGCCCACGAGGGUGAGAGCCCCGUCUGUCGUUCGCAGCCCCCUGAGCACGGCGCGCCCUCCAAGAGUCGCGUUUCUCGAAAUCGGAGCGUAAAGCGGGUGGUAAGCCUCAUUUCAAGCUAAAUAUUGUCUYGAGACCGAUAGGAAAAAAGUACCAUGAGGGAAAGGUGAAAAGAACUUUGAAAAGAGAGUUAAAAGUGUCUGAACUUGCUGAAAGGGAAGCGAAUGGAACCAGUGCUGCAUGGCGAGAUUGUCGCGCGCCGCGGCAUUCCCAGAGGCGCGCGGUGCUUCUUGCCUUGUGCGUCCACAUCAGCUCGUGGCCGAGGAAACCUCUAGGGACAUGGCAGUUCGCCGCUCGCGGCCAAAUGUGCCUGGCAGAACUCGUUCAUGAGCUGCAGCUCGGGUGUCUGAUUGCAGCGCUCCCCACCCGGGCGCUCCCCUGACAUUUGGAGGGCGAUGAAACGGUUCCAUUCGACCCGUCUUGAAACACGGACCAAGGAGUCUAAUGCGUGCGCGAGUCCACGGGUGAUGAAAACCUGCUUGCGAAGUGAAAGCAACUGCUGGGAUGUCUGCACCAGCAACCGACCAAUCAAUCAAGAGAGGUUUGAGUGCGAGCGCACCUGUUAGGACCCGAAAGAUGGUGAACUAUGCCUGAGAAGGGCAAGCUCAGGGGAAACUCUGAUGGAGGCUCGUAGCGAUACUGACGUGCAAAUCGUUCGUCGCACUUGGGUAUAG